Molecule: long non-coding RNA, 737 nt
Filed under: Onthophagus taurus
Lineage: Eukaryota; Metazoa; Arthropoda; Insecta; Coleoptera; Scarabaeidae
Description: uncharacterized LOC111425063
Source: RNAcentral
UCCUAAAUUAACUUUAAUAACAAUGCUUAUUUACGAGAGAUAAAUUUUUAAAUAAAAUAGAUAACUGCGGUUAUCGACUGAAAUAUCGAUAUUAGAGAGAACCCGUUUAUUAUUUGAGAGAGAGAGUAGGAUAAAACUAGUUAGAACCGUUCUUUGAAAAUAACAAAUGGCCGAUGUCUUAAGUUGUCAUCAAACUCGUUAAAAAAAAAUAGAAUUAAAUAAAUGAACGUUAUUCAAGAAAAACUAAUAAAUCUUUACACACAAGUUAUGUUAAAUAAUAAAAUAAAAUUAUCAUCCGACUCACUGUAUAAAAGAAAGGAUUGGAGUUCAAUGUGGUAUCUGGAUUAUGGAAUUGUCUCUUGUGUUCGGGGCACUAACUAAUUUUCUGGAUUGUCUACAGGAUUCUUCUUACGGGAAAUUGAACUGCUUGUUCUUCGGAAAUAGGGUCUUGGAUGAUCUCGAAGAAGUAUCAGUAGUUCUCGGAAUAGGUUGUAGGAUGAUUCUCUUUUUAUUUUAAUAUCACAUACAUUGGAGUACACGCCAAAUUUCAACAAUGAGUAAAGUUAGAAAAAUUCAAAUUUAAAUCAAGGAUUUCUUCCUCAAAAUAACGUUAAAACCUCAAAAGAUGGAUGAAAAAUGUGCUUUAGGAGCUGAACUACAAUAAUUGAUACAUUUGGAAGUUAUGUUCUCUCGGUGAACUAAGAGAAUGUUAAAAUUAUUACAGUAUAUAUAAUAAA